Molecule: ribosomal RNA, 301 nt
Filed under: uncultured bacterium
Lineage: Bacteria
Description: partial 16S ribosomal RNA
Rfam family: Bacterial small subunit ribosomal RNA
Source: RNAcentral
CAGCCGCCGCGGGAAUACGGAGGGUGCAAGCGUUAAUCGGAAUUACUGGGCGUAAAGCGCACGCAGGCGGUCUGUCAAGUCAGAUGUGAAAUCCCCGGGCUUAACCUGGGAACUGCAUUUGAAACUGGCAGGCUAGAGUCUUGUAGAGGGGGGUAGAAUUCCAGGUGUAGCGGUGAAAUGCGUAGAGAUCUGGAGGAAUACCGGUGGCGAAGGCAGCCAUCUGGCCUAACACUGACGCUGAGGUACGAAAGCAUGGGGAGCAAACAGGAUUAGAUACCCCGGUAGUCCCUGUCUCUUAUAC